This 253-nucleotide ribosomal RNA is filed under the name uncultured bacterium. RNAcentral describes it as "partial 16S ribosomal RNA". It matches the Rfam family "Bacterial small subunit ribosomal RNA", at positions 524 to 776 of the family's 1533-position model. The record is from RNAcentral.
UACGUAGGGUGCAAGCGUUGUCCGGUUUUAUUGGGCGUAAAGAGCUCGUAGGCGGUUUGUCGCGUCGGAUGUGAAAACCCAGGGCUCAACCCUGGGCCUGCAUUCGAUACGGGCAGACUAGAGUAUGGCAGGGGAGACUGGAAUUCCCAGUGUAGAGGUGAAAUUCGUAGAUAUUGGGAAGAACACCGGUGGCGAAGGCGGCUCACUGGCCCGAAACUGACGCUCAUGCACGACAGCGUGGGGAUCAAACAGG